RNAcentral lists this ribosomal RNA (301 nucleotides) under uncultured bacterium. RNAcentral's name for it is "partial 16S ribosomal RNA". It matches the Rfam family "Bacterial small subunit ribosomal RNA", at positions 509 to 807 of the family's 1533-position model. The record is from RNAcentral.
CAGCCGCCGCGGUAAAACGAAGGGUGCAAGCGUUAAUCGGAAUUACUGGGCGUAAAGCGUGCGUAGGCGGUGAGUUAAGUCUGCUGUGAAAUCCCCGGGCUCAGCCUGGGAAUGGCAGUGGAUACUGGCUCGCUAGAGUGUGUCAGAGGAUGGUGGAAUUCCCGGUGUAGCGGUGAAAUGCGUAGAGAUCGGGAGGAACAUCAGUGGCGAAGGCGGCCAUCUGGGACAACACUGACGCUGAGGCACGAAAGCGUGGGGAGCAAACAGGAUUAGAUACCCCCGUAGUCCCUGUCUCUUAUAC